Molecule: ribosomal RNA, 486 nt
Filed under: uncultured bacterium
Lineage: Bacteria
Description: partial 16S ribosomal RNA
Rfam family: Bacterial small subunit ribosomal RNA
Source: RNAcentral
AUUGAACGCUGGCGGCAUGCCUUACACAUGCAAGUCGAACGGCAGCACGUGUGUUUGCACCUGGUGGCGAGUGGCGAUCGUGUGAGUAAUACAUCUGAACAUGUCCUGUUGCGUGGGAUAGUCCGUCGAAAGCCGGAUUAAUACCGCAUACGAUCGUCUGGUGAAAGCGGGGGACCUUCGGGCCUCGUGCGUUUGUUUGUGCCGAUGUCUGAUUAGCUAGUUGGUGGGGUAAAGGCCUACCAAGGCGACGAUCAGUAGCUGGUCUGAGAGGACGACCAGCCACACUGGGACUGAGACACGGCCCAGACUCCUACGGGAGCACGCAGUGGGCACAUUUGGACAAUGGGCGAAAGCCUGAUCCAGCAAUGCCGCGUGUGAGAAGAAGGAAUUCGGGUUGUAAAGCACUUUUGUCCGGAAAGACAAAAAAGGCCCUAAUACGGUCGGGGGAUGACGGUACCGGAAGAAUAAGCACCGGCUAACUACGUG